This 427-nucleotide ribosomal RNA is filed under the name uncultured prokaryote. RNAcentral's name for it is "bacterial SSU rRNA". It matches the Rfam family "Bacterial small subunit ribosomal RNA", at positions 355 to 774 of the family's 1533-position model. The record is from RNAcentral.
UGGGGAAUAUUGGACAAUGGGCGCAAGCCUGAUCCAGCCAUACCGCGUGGGUGAAGAAGGCCUUCGGGUUGUAAAGCCCUUUUGUUGGGAAAGAAAUCCAGCUUUUUCAUACCCGGUUUUGAUGACGGUACCCAACGCAUAAGCACCGGCUAACUUCGUUCCAGCCGCCGCGGUAAUACUAAGGGUGCAAGCGUUACUCGGAAUUACUUGUCGUAAAGCGUGCGGAGGUGGUCGUUUAAGUCCGUUGUGAAAGCCCUGGGCUCAACCUGGGAACUUCAGUGGAGAAGGGGAGAGUAGAAGGUGGGAGAGGGGAGAGGAAUUCAGGGGGGAGCAGGGAAAUGCGUAGAGAGCAGGAGGAACAUCCAUGGCGAAGGCAGCUACCUGGACCAACAUUGACACUGAGGCACGAAAGCGUGGGGAGCAAACA